Molecule: ribosomal RNA, 253 nt
Filed under: uncultured bacterium
Lineage: Bacteria
Description: partial 16S ribosomal RNA
Rfam family: Bacterial small subunit ribosomal RNA
Source: RNAcentral
UACGUAGGGCGCAAGCGUUGUCCGGAAUUAUUGGGCGUAAAGAGCUCGUAGGUGGUGUGUCGCGUCUGCCGUGAAAGCCCGGGGCUUAACUCCGGGUCUGCGGUGGAUACGGGCAGACUAGAGGCAGGUAGGGGAGAACGGAAUUCCCGGUGUAGCGGUGAAAUGCGCAGAUAUCGGGAGGAACACCGGUGGCGAAGGCGGGUCUCUGGGCCGAUACUGACGCUGAGGAGCGAAGGUCAGGGGAGCAAACGGG